Molecule: ribosomal RNA, 255 nt
Filed under: uncultured prokaryote
Description: partial 16S ribosomal RNA
Rfam family: Bacterial small subunit ribosomal RNA
Source: RNAcentral
AAUACGUAGGGCGCAAGCGUUGUCCGGAAUUAUUGGGCGUAAAGAGCUCGUAGGCGGCCUGUCACGUCGGGUGUGAAAGCUCGGGGCUCAACCCCGGGUCUGCAUUCGAUACGGACAGGCUGGAGUGUGGUAGGGGAGAUCGGAAUUCCUGGUGUAGCGGUGAAAUGCGCAGAUAUCAGGAGGAACACCGGUGGCGAAGGCGGAUCUCUGGGCCAUUACUGACGCUGAGGAGCGAAAGCGUGGGGAGCGAACAGG